Molecule: ribosomal RNA, 614 nt
Filed under: uncultured bacterium
Lineage: Bacteria
Description: bacterial SSU rRNA
Rfam family: Bacterial small subunit ribosomal RNA (bases 1-519)
Source: RNAcentral
CCUACGGGAGGCAGCAGUGGGGAAUCUUGCGCAAUGGGCGAAAGCCUGACGCAGCCAUGCCGCGUGAAUGAUGAAGGUCUUAGGAUUGUAAAAUUCUUUCACCGGGGACGAUAAUGACGGUACCCGGAGAAGAAGCCCCGGCUAACUUCGUGCCAGCAGCCGCGGUAAUACGAAGGGGGCUAGCGUUGCUCGGAAUUACUGGGCGUAAAGGGAGCGUAGGCGGAUAGUUUAGUCAGAGGUGAAAGCCCAGGGCUCAACCUUGGAAUUGCCUUUGAUACUGGCUAUCUUGAGUUUGGGAGAGGUGAGUGGAACUCCGAGUGUAGAGGUGAAAUUCGUAGAUAUUCGGAAGAACACCAGUGGCGAAGGCGACUCACUGGCCCAAUACUGACGCUGAGGCUCGAAAGCGUGGGGAGCAAACAGGAUUAGAUACCCUGGUAGUCCACGCCGUAAACGAUGAGUGCUAGUUGUCGGCAUGCAUGCAUGUCGGUGACGCGAGCUACGACAUAAGUACACNCCGCCGUCGGGUAGGUACGGUCGGCGAGAAGUUAAACGUUAAACGUAAAGUUAGUUACGGUCGUUGAGACGUUGCCGACGGACGACGACGAGGGAGGAGG